CGAAGNNNNUAGCGCGGUGGUCCCACCUGACCCCAUGCCGAACUCAGAAGUGAAACGCCGUAGCGCCGAUGGUAGUGUGGGGUCUCCCCAUGCGAGAGUAGGGAACUGCCAGGCA
Molecule: ribosomal RNA, 115 nt
Filed under: Escherichia coli
Lineage: Bacteria; Pseudomonadati; Pseudomonadota; Gammaproteobacteria; Enterobacterales; Enterobacteriaceae
Source: RNAcentral